RNAcentral lists this non-coding RNA (25 nucleotides) under Mus musculus (house mouse). RNAcentral also lists the same sequence under 1 other name. The record is from RNAcentral. Lineage: Eukaryota; Metazoa; Chordata; Mammalia; Rodentia; Muridae.
GUAGGUGACCUGCGGAAGGAUCAUU